AUAAUUACAUUUUUCUUCAGUGAUGCUUUCUAUAGCACAUAUACUAAUAUGAUAAGCAAAUGACAAAAGUAAAUUGCUAGCUCUAUUGACAACAAGAAACCACUACAACGCAUGUCAGUAAAUGAACAACAAGGGCCAUGAUAUAUCAAAGAACUAAAUUUGCAAGUAGAAUAAUAGCUAUAAAUCAUAAUGAACAGUUACC
RNAcentral lists this long non-coding RNA (202 nucleotides) under Panax ginseng (ginseng). RNAcentral describes it as "long non-coding RNA (PGIN_LNC018423)". Lineage: Eukaryota; Viridiplantae; Streptophyta; Magnoliopsida; Apiales; Araliaceae. The record is from RNAcentral.